Molecule: ribosomal RNA, 465 nt
Filed under: uncultured bacterium
Lineage: Bacteria
Description: partial 16S ribosomal RNA
Rfam family: Bacterial small subunit ribosomal RNA
Source: RNAcentral
CCUACGGGAGACUGCAGUGGGGAAUAUUGCGCAAUGGGCGAAAGCCUGACGCAGCGACGCCGCGUGAGGGAUGAAGGUCUUCGGAUCGUAAACCUCUGUCAGCAGGGCAGAACGGUCACUGUGCUAAUCAGCAGUGAAUUGACGGUACCUGCAAAGGAAGCACCGGCUAACUCCGUGCCAGCCGCCGCGGUAAUACGGAGGGUGCGAGCGUUAAUCGGAAUUACUGGGCGUAAAGCGCUCGUAGGCGGUAUGUCAAGUCAAGGGUGAAAUCCCCGCGCUCAACGUGGGAACUGCCUUUGAAACUGGCAAACUGGAGUGUGUGAGAGGAUAGUGGAAUUCCAGGUGUAGGAGUGAAAUCCGUAGAUAUCUGGAGGAACAUCAGUGGCGAAGGCGACUAUCUGGCACAUAACUGACGCUGAGGAGCGAAAGCGUGGGUAGCAAACAGGAUUAGAUACCCGUGUAGUC